Bubalus bubalis (water buffalo) is the source of this 360-nucleotide long non-coding RNA. RefSeq lists it as uncharacterized. The record is from RefSeq and is a predicted model, not a curated record. The transcript has 3 exons. Lineage: Eukaryota; Metazoa; Chordata; Mammalia; Artiodactyla; Bovidae.
GACGUGGUCCUCCUCCUCAAACAGGGCCUUCUGCACCGAGGAACACAUGAGCUGGGGAGGAAACACGAGGUGUGGGGGGAGAGAGAGGCAGGAAAAAAAAAAAAUUCUAAAUAUUUGUCACUCUAGCAAAAAGGACAGCGCUAGUGACCCAAAAGAACAAAACCUAAAACAGAAAAAUGCACAGAGAAUAUGGAUGGUCUACAGGAAAGCAUUAAAAAAGACACCAGUCCUGGCUAUGGACACUGCAAUGGUCCCUGAGUUUCACCAGACCCUCUCCGGCAAAGGACCUCAACAGGGGUUUCUCCAAAGAAGACAUACAGGUGGCCAACUGGUAUGUGGAAGGUGCUGGACACCACUAAU